RNAcentral lists this ribosomal RNA (467 nucleotides) under uncultured Sphingobacteriales bacterium. Its description in RNAcentral is "bacterial SSU rRNA". It matches the Rfam family "Bacterial small subunit ribosomal RNA", at positions 915 to 1382 of the family's 1533-position model. Lineage: Bacteria; Pseudomonadati; Bacteroidota; Sphingobacteriia; Sphingobacteriales. The record is from RNAcentral.
GGGGGCCCCGCACAAGCGGUGGAGCAUGUGGUUUAAUUCGAUGAUACGCGAGGAACCUUACCUGGGCUCAAAUGUAUGUUGACGUAUUCUGAAAGGGAUACUUCUUCGGACAAUAUACAAGGUGCUGCAUGGUUGUCGUCAGCUCGUGCCGUGAGGUGUCGGGUUAAGUCCCAUAACGAGCGCAACCCCUAUCAUUAGUUGCCAUCAGGUCAAGCUGGGGACUCUAAUGAAACUGCCUACGCAAGUAGUGAGGAAGGUGGGGAUGACGUCAAAUCAGCACGGCCCUUACGUCCAGGGCUACACACGUGCUACAAUGGUCGGUACAGCGGGAAGCGAGGCAGUGAUGCCAAGCGGAUCCCUUAAAGCCGGUCUCAGUUCGGAUUGAAGUCUGCAACUCGACUUCAUGAAGCUGGAAUCGCUAGUAAUCGCAGAUCAGCCAAGCUGCGGUGAAUACGUUCCCGGGCCUU